This 253-nucleotide ribosomal RNA is filed under the name uncultured bacterium. RNAcentral's name for it is "partial 16S ribosomal RNA". It matches the Rfam family "Bacterial small subunit ribosomal RNA", at positions 524 to 776 of the family's 1533-position model. The record is from RNAcentral.
UACGUAGGCAGCGAGCGUUGUUCGGAAUUACUGGGCGUAAAGAGUGUGUAGGCGGUGCUCUAAGUUCGGUGUGAAAUCUCCUGGCUUAACUGGGAGGGUGCGCCGGAAACUGGGGUGCUCGAGCGUGGGAGAGGAAAGCGGAAUUCCUGGUGCAGCGGUGAAAUGCGUAGAUAUUAGGAAGAACACCGGUGGCGAAGGCGGCCAUCUGGCUCGGUACUGACGCUCAGGUUCGAAAGCGUGGGGAGCAAACAGG